CGCAUGAGUGGCGUCCUGCUGUAAAUAUGGACAGAUAAUAAAGUUGGUGGAAUUUAGAUGAGCGUAUGUGAGUCAGAUGCUCAUAAAGGACCAUCACACAUAC
Molecule: small nucleolar RNA, 103 nt
Organism: Phragmites australis (common reed)
Lineage: Eukaryota; Viridiplantae; Streptophyta; Magnoliopsida; Poales; Poaceae
Source: RefSeq, a predicted model, not a curated record